CAGUAGCCGCGGGAAUACGGAGGGUGCAAGCGUUAAUCGGAAUUGCUGGGCGUAAAGCGCACGCAGGCGGUCUGUCAAGUCAGAUGUGAAAUCCCCGGGCUUAACCUGGGAACUGCAUUUGAAACUGGCAGGCUAGAGUCUUGUAGAGGGGGGUAGAAUUCCAGGUGUAGCGGUGAAAUGCGUAGAGAUCUGGAGGAAUACCGGUGGCGAAGGCGGCCCCCUGGACAAAGACUGACGCUCAGGUGCGAAAGCGUGGGGAGCAAACAGGAUUAGAUACCCGUGUAGUCCCUGUCUCUUAUAC
RNAcentral lists this ribosomal RNA (301 nucleotides) under uncultured bacterium. Its description in RNAcentral is "partial 16S ribosomal RNA". It matches the Rfam family "Bacterial small subunit ribosomal RNA", at positions 509 to 807 of the family's 1533-position model. The record is from RNAcentral.